UACGUAGGUGGCAAGCGUUGUCCGGAAUUAUUGGGCGUAAAGGGCUCGUAGGCGGUUUGUCGCGUCGGGAGUGAAAACCCAGGGCUUAACCCUGGGCUGGCUUUCGAUACGGGCAGACUAGAGGUAUGCAGGGGAGAACGGAAUUCCUGGUGUAGCGGUGAAAUGCGCAGAUGUCAGGAGGAACACCGGUGGCGAAGGCGGUUCUCUGGGCAUUACCUGACGCUGAGGAGCGAAAGUGUGGGGAGCGAACAGG
RNAcentral lists this ribosomal RNA (253 nucleotides) under uncultured bacterium. RNAcentral describes it as "partial 16S ribosomal RNA". It matches the Rfam family "Bacterial small subunit ribosomal RNA", at positions 524 to 776 of the family's 1533-position model. The record is from RNAcentral.